Molecule: ribosomal RNA, 253 nt
Filed under: uncultured bacterium
Lineage: Bacteria
Description: partial 16S ribosomal RNA
Rfam family: Bacterial small subunit ribosomal RNA
Source: RNAcentral
UACAGAGGGGGCAAGCGUUGUUCGGAAUUACUGGGCGUAAAGGGCGCGUAGGCGGCCUGCUAAGUCGAACGUGAAAUCCCUGGGCUUAACCCAGGAACUGCGUCCGAUACUGGCAGGCUUGAAUCCGGGAGAGGGAUGCGGAAUUCCAGGUGUAGCGGUGAAAUGCGUAGAUAUCAGGAGGAACACCGGUGGCGAAGGCGGUUCUCUGGGCAUGAUCUGACGCUGAGGAGCGAAAGUGUGGGGAGCGAACAGG